GCUCAGGAUGAACGCUAGCGGCAGGCUUAAACACAUGCAAGUCGAGGGGCAGUGCGUUGUAGCAAUACGGAUGGCGGCGACCGGCGUAAGGGUGAGUAACGCGUGAGCGACGUGCCCGUCACAGGGGGACAAGCGCUGGAAACGGCGUCUGAUACCCCAUAGGAAUAUCUUCUGCAUGGGAGAUGUUUGAAAGAUUUAUCGGUGACGGAUCGGCUCGCGUCCGAUUAGGUAGACGGCGGGUAACGGCCCACCGUGCCGACGAUCGGUAGGGGUUCUGAGAGGAAGGUCCCCCACAUUGGAACUGAGACACGGUCCAGACUCCUACGGGAGGCAGCAGUGAGGAAUAUUGGACAAUGGCCGGAAGGCUGAUCCAGCCAUGCCGCGUGCGGGAGGACGGCCCUAUGGGUUGUAAACCGCUUUUGUGUGGGAGCAAUAAGAGCCACGUGUGGCUUGAUGAGAGUACCAUACGAAUAAGCAUCGGCUAACUCCGUGCC
This 494-nucleotide ribosomal RNA is filed under the name uncultured bacterium. RNAcentral's name for it is "bacterial SSU rRNA". It matches the Rfam family "Bacterial small subunit ribosomal RNA", at positions 22 to 509 of the family's 1533-position model. The record is from RNAcentral.